This 420-nucleotide ribosomal RNA is filed under the name Aname sp. QMB S111473. RNAcentral's name for it is "partial 16S ribosomal RNA". It matches the Rfam family "Bacterial large subunit ribosomal RNA", at positions 1834 to 2592 of the family's 2925-position model. Lineage: Eukaryota; Metazoa; Arthropoda; Arachnida; Araneae; Anamidae. The record is from RNAcentral.
AAAAGUCAUUAAUUUUUAGUAGCUCCUGCUCAAUGAAUAUUAAAUAGCCGCAGUCAACUGUGCUAAGGUAGCAUAAUCAUUUGCCUAAUAAUUAUAGGAUAGAAUGAACGGUGUCACAUGUUAUCUUCUUUAUUAAACAGGGUCCUCUAAAUUAAUAUUUAAGUAAAAAUCCUUAAAUGCUAAGGGGGACGACAAGACCCUGACGAACUUUACUAUAUGUUUAGCUGGGGCGGCAGACAAAUAAAACCUUUCCUUCCUAUAUUACAAUUCAACCUAAAAUUUGAUAACCAAGUUACCGCAGGGAUAACAGCAUAAUUCUUCCCUGAAGAUCUUAUACAAGGAAGUAUUUGUGACCUCGAUGUUGAAUUAAAAAUCUUUUAGAGGCAACACUCUAAACAGAAAGUCUGUUCGACUUUUAAA